UUAGUCUUCUUUAUCUUUGUCAAGUUUUCUUAAAGUUUUUGACAGGCUUUAUUAUUUACUGUUUAUUUUAAAUCUUUAUCUAGUUCUAAAAUAAAUAGUUACUUCUUUUUGGUGAAUUGAACCUGAUUUGUAUUAGUUCUACACUUUUAAUUUAUUUUCUUAUUUUAAGGCACAGGAUUACUUUAUCAACUGCUGUAGUUAAUUGAUGCCUGGUGUUUCCCCUCAUCUAUUUUCACUUUUACCUGUGAAGGCAUGACAAGGACUCCGCUGAUGGAUGCAGUGAAAUAAAUGCUUUGUGCCAUCUACUGGUGCCGCUGGGAGCUGCGGGUCAGCCCGCAGCCGGAGUUGUGACGGACUCAAGCGUGCAGUGUGGGAAAAGGAAACUCGCUGUAAAUGCUCCAAACAAUCAUCUUUGCUUUUUUUGUCACUAAUUGCUAUGCCUGGGAAAACAAACUGCAUAAUGCCUCAAGUCUGAUAAGACAAGGAAGUGACCAGGAACUUAUUGGUCUUGGGAAUCCUGUGAUACCUAAAACAGCAGUACUCUGGGCUGUCAUGGACCUGAAAGUGGUUUGGCCAUUCUGUUUAGAGACACACAAAAAUAAAAAUAUAUUUCAUAGUGUUUGAAAUACCAGCAUGUCUCUAGAAACUUUUAUCAGAAAAGAUAAGGGUUGGAGCAAUUCAAAGUUUAUUAGACAAGGCACAUUGUCAGUUCAGGGUGACUUUAAAAUACAGGGCAAUCUGUAUGGUUUUAAGUCUUGGGAAGUGCAUUACUCACUGAUGACUAAACUCUGACACUGCACAGAGACAAUUCAGAAUUUGAGUUUAGAGUAUCACUAGAGAUGUGAUUUACAAUGCUGGUCAGAACAAGCUGAUAGCAGCCAUGAAAAUGAAACUAUAUAGAUAAGCUUUGGUAAUAUACCCCACACGUAUCUUGCAAGCUGCUGAGCAUUUAGCACCUGCUUGCUACUGUUUUUCACAUCCCUUCACUGUGAGAGGCCAUGUGUUAACACAGAGUCUAGCAAAUGACUCCGAAAUGACAAUCUUAUGCAAUAACUGCAGCAUUUCAAAUGUUGCUUUGAUGCUUUCAGUGCUUCUAACGUUCUGUUCACACAGGAAGUCAGGCAGGCUGGUUUAAGUGGCUGCCCAGCUUUAUGGUAAUGGGAGCAAGAGAACCUCUAGACAGGAAUCCAGCUCCAAAACUCUGUGCUGUCCAUGAAAUUCUUUGCUUUAGGUCUUACUCAUGAACUGCUCCAUAAAAUGCCAUGGUGAUAAGGUCCGUGGGUUAAACCAAGUGACCAUAUUGAGAAAGGGCUGAGACCUACAUUCCAGCCUUGUUCCUGAUCACUUGACUGGACAUGAACAGCUUUUCAGGAGCUCUCUUCCCAUAUCAAAGCAGAUAAUCAAAGCAGAAAGAGAGAAAAGCAAUGUUCUGAGCUGGAUCUGUGUCCUCAUUUAGUUAAAUAUCUAAUCAUGCACUUUUCCAUAAAGACUGGGGUAAAGAUGGC
Molecule: long non-coding RNA, 1505 nt
Filed under: Cyanistes caeruleus (blue tit)
Lineage: Eukaryota; Metazoa; Chordata; Aves; Passeriformes; Paridae
Description: lncRNA (ENSCCEG00000011338.1)
Source: RNAcentral